RNAcentral lists this ribosomal RNA (443 nucleotides) under uncultured bacterium. RNAcentral describes it as "partial 16S ribosomal RNA". It matches the Rfam family "Bacterial small subunit ribosomal RNA", at positions 338 to 795 of the family's 1533-position model. The record is from RNAcentral.
CCUACGGGUGGCAGCAGUGGGGAAUAUUGGGCAAUGGGCGCAAGCCUGACCCAGCAACGCCGCGUGAAGGAAGAAGGCUUUCGGGUUGUAAACUUCUUUUCUCAGGGACGAAGAAAGUGACGGUACCUGAGGAAUAAGCCACGGCUAACUACGUGCGAGCAGCCGCGGAACUACGUAGGUGGCAAGCGUGAUACGGAUUUACUGGGUGUAAAGGGCGUGUAGGCGGGUCUGGAAGUCAGAUGUGAAAACCACGGGCUUAACCUGGGGCCUGCAUUUGAAACUGUAGGUCUUGAGGACUGGAGAGGCAGACGGAAUGCCUAGGGUAGCGGUGAAAGGCGUAGAUAUUAGGGAGAACACCAGUGGCGAAGGCGGUCUGCUGGACAGCAACUGACGCUGAGGCGCGAAAGCGUGGGGAGCAAACAGGAUUAGAUACCCGUGUAGUC